RNAcentral lists this ribosomal RNA (54 nucleotides) under Crocosphaera sp. 1 str. KO38CU6. RNAcentral describes it as "partial 23S ribosomal RNA". The record is from RNAcentral. Lineage: Bacteria; Bacillati; Cyanobacteriota; Cyanophyceae; Chroococcales; Aphanothecaceae.
GGUCUAGCUACAAAGGGCUAACGGUGGAUACCUAUGCACAGAGCGGCCGCGAAA